GACGAACCGUGCGAACGUUGUUCGGAAUCACUGGGCUUAAAGGGCGCGUAGGCGGGUGCCCAAGUCCGGGGUGAAAUACUCCAGCUCAACUGGAGAACUGCCCCGGAUACUGGGCGUCUGGAGUGGGGUAGGGGUGUGCGGAACGCUGGGUGGAGCGGUGAAAUGCGUUGAUAUCCAGCGGAACUCCGGUGGCGAAAGCGGCACACUGGACCACGUCUGACGCUGAGGCGCGAAAGCCAGGGGAGCGAACGGG
RNAcentral lists this ribosomal RNA (253 nucleotides) under uncultured bacterium. Its description in RNAcentral is "partial 16S ribosomal RNA". It matches the Rfam family "Bacterial small subunit ribosomal RNA", at positions 524 to 776 of the family's 1533-position model. The record is from RNAcentral.